RNAcentral lists this ribosomal RNA (252 nucleotides) under uncultured bacterium. Its description in RNAcentral is "partial 16S ribosomal RNA". It matches the Rfam family "Bacterial small subunit ribosomal RNA", at positions 524 to 776 of the family's 1533-position model. The record is from RNAcentral.
UACGUAGGGUGCGAGCGUUAAUCGGAAUACUGGGCGUAAAGCGUGCGCAGGCGGUUCUCCAAGUCCGUUGUGAAAGCCCCGGGCUCAACCUGGGAAUGGCAGUGGAAACUAGGGGACUGGAAUCUGGGCAGAGGGGGGUGGAAUGCCGCGUGUAGCAGUGAAAUGCGUAGAGAUGUGGAGGAAUACCGAUGGCGAAGGCAGCCCCUGGGCCAAUACUGACGCUCAUGCACGAAAGCGUGGGGAGCAAACAGG